UGUUGCUAGUUAUCCUUCUUGUCAAAGUCUGAGCUCGUCAGAUCUCAGAAGCUAAACAAGGGUGGGCCUAGUACUUGGAUGAGAGACUGCAGGGAAUACCAGGUGCCACAGUGACAA
Molecule: ribosomal RNA, 117 nt
Filed under: Periophthalmus magnuspinnatus
Lineage: Eukaryota; Metazoa; Chordata; Actinopteri; Gobiiformes; Gobiidae
Source: RNAcentral